CGUUCGAUUCCGGAGAGGGAGCUUGAGAAACGGCUACCACAUCCAAGGAUGGCAGCAGGCGCGCAAAUUACCCAAUCCCGACACGGGGAGGUAGUGACAUGAAAUAACAAUGCUGGACUUUUUAAGUCCGGCAAUUGGAAUGAGAGUAAUUUAAAUCAAUUCUCGAGGAGCCAUUGGAGGGCAAGUCUGGUGCCAGCAGCCGCGGUAAUUCCAGCUCCAAUAGCGUAUAUUAAAGUUGUUGCAGUUAAAAAGCUCGUAGUCUGAGUUAUUUGGCCUAAUUCAAUUCCCGCAUGUUGGGGCACGGGGAAGGGGGUUCGCCUCUGACUUCGUUGUCUUGUGUGUGGGGGGCCAAAUUUUUGUACUUCGGAGGAACGCGUGUGCCUUUCAUUAGGUGUGCGUUUGGGAUUCCGAUAGUUUACUUUGAGAAAAUCAGAGUGUUCAAAGCAGGCGAUUUUGCCACUUGAAUACGUUAGCAUGGGAUAAUGAAAUAGGACAUUGGUUCUCUAUUUCUGAUGGUUUGAAGGACCGAUGUAAUGGUUAAUAGGGACAGUUGGGGACAUUCAUAUUCCAUGGCUAGAGGUGAAAUUCUUGGAUUCAUGGAAGAUGAACUACUGCGAAAGCAUUUGUCAAAGAUGUUUUCAUUGAUCAAGAACGAAAGUUAGGGGAGCAAAGACGAUCAGAUACCGUCGUAGUCUUAACCAUAAACGAUGCCGACUAGGGAUCGGUGGGAGUUAGUUUUGAUGACUCCAUCGGCACCUCAUGGGAAACCAAAGUCUUUGGGUUCCGGGGGGAGUAUGGUCGCAAGGCUGAAACUUAAAGGAAUUGACGGAAGGGCACCGCCAGGAGUGGAGCCUGCGGCUUAAUUUGACCCAACACGGGGAAACUCACCAGGUCCAGACAUGGUAAGGAUUGACAGAUUGAGAGCUCUUUCUUGAUUCCAUGAAAGGUGGCGCAUGGCCGUUCUUAGUUGGUGGAGUGAUUUGUCUGGUUAAUUCCGAUAACGAACGAGACCUUAACCUGCUAACUAGUCCAAGCAUACUUUCGGGUAUGGUACUUGCUGACUUCUUAGAGGGACAAGCUGUAUCUAGCAGCUGGAAGCUUGAGGCAAUAACAGGUCUGUGAUGCCCUUAGAUGUCCUGGGCUGCACGCGCGCUACACUGACGAACUCAACGAGUUUAUAACCUUGGCAGAGAUGUCUGGGUAAUCUUCUAAAAGUUCGUCGUGAUGGGGAUAGAUGAUUGUAAUUAUUCGUCUUGAACGAGGAAUUCCUAGUAAGUGUGAGUCAUCAGCUCGCGCUGAUUACGUCCCUGCCCUUUGUACACACCGCCCGUCGCUCCUACCGAUUGAAUGGUCCGGUGAGAACGUCGGAUCACGCGUUUGAUGCCAGUUCGCUGGUGACUUUUGCGAGAAAAGUAGUUCAAACCUUACCAUUUAGAGGAAGGAGAAGUCGUAACAAGGUUUCCGUAGGUGAACCUGCGGAAG
RNAcentral lists this ribosomal RNA (1482 nucleotides) under metagenome. Its description in RNAcentral is "SSU rRNA". It matches the Rfam family "Eukaryotic small subunit ribosomal RNA", at positions 374 to 1823 of the family's 1831-position model. The record is from RNAcentral.